CCCCUAAAAAACUACGUCCCACGUUCGGAUUGCAGGCUGCAACUCGCCUGCAUGAAGUCGGAAUUGCUAGUAAUCGCGGAUCAGCAUGCCGCGGUGAAUACGUUCCCGGGCCUUGUACACACCGCCCGUCACACCAUGAGAGUCGGAAACACCCGAAGCCUGUAGUCCAACCGCAAGGGGGGCGCAGUCGAAGGUGGGUCUGAUAAUCGGGGUGAAGUCGUAACAAGGUAAC
RNAcentral lists this ribosomal RNA (232 nucleotides) under uncultured bacterium. RNAcentral's name for it is "partial 16S ribosomal RNA". It matches the Rfam family "Bacterial small subunit ribosomal RNA", at positions 1272 to 1500 of the family's 1533-position model. The record is from RNAcentral.